This is a non-coding RNA of Cyanistes caeruleus (blue tit), 835 nucleotides long. The record is from RefSeq and is a predicted model, not a curated record. Lineage: Eukaryota; Metazoa; Chordata; Aves; Passeriformes; Paridae.
AUUUAGUCAGUGGUACUUUGGGACUUCAUGAAGCAAUUCACAUACUUCAGAAGCCUUUUUGAGCUGCAUCUGAAGCAGAAAGUUGCACAAGGAGAAACAAUAAGCAGCUGAUUUUUUUUGUGGAAGGGACCUGUCUCACCCAUCUGAGAUGUGCAGAAGAGCUAUGCUGAGAUAGCCUUGUGAACCAUAAACCUAGGCCUACAGAUCUUAGAAAGCCUUUUAAGUCAAGGAAAUUUCUGGACCAUUACCUCUGUGGAACCGGAUCCAUGUAGGGCAAUAGUUGGAGUGGGGUUCCUUUUAAUGUAUGUCAGCAUGGCAUCCAGGAUGGCUCAUGGUUAGCUAGUGAAUGGAGCUCUGCUCACAGAUACCUGAGAUGCAGUUUGAAUUAUUUCAAAGAGCCAAUGAAAAGAGCUAAUGCAGAAAUACAAGACCUCUUGUGAUUCAGUAAGACUUUACAGUUUUGAUUUGGGGCUGGGCAGGCCUGAAGAAUCCCAGAAAAAAAAUCUCUGUAAGAAGAUUUCAGAGUGUAUCCCCUGGGAAAUUAUUACCUGCAUCUCUUCUCUUUUUUUUACUUUCUGUUUCAUGUAUUUAUUUUAUGAUUCAGGUGCUGCAUUAGUCUAAUAUAGAGUUUACAUUUUUGAAAGCUUGUUUUUAUUCGACAUGCUUAGCAGAAAAAUGACUAAUAGAGGAAGCCCAUGAUUCUCCUAACAAAAAGUUAUAUGGACUCUGAUCCUUUGAAGAGUUAAAUCCUUUGUUUCACAAUCAUGGUAAAUAACUACUACUAUUCAAACUGGAAAAAUUAAAUCAGAAAUUGGAUGUGAGCGCUUUAACUGAU